CCUACGGGUGGCUGCAGUGGGGAAUAUUGCGCAAUGGGCGAAAGCCGGACGCAGCGACGCCGCGUGAGGGAUGAAGGUCUUCGGAUCGUAAACCUCUGUCAGCAGGGAAGAACGGUCACUGUGCUAAUCAGCAGUGAAUUGACGGUACCUGCAAAGGAAGCACCGGCUAACUCCGUGCCAGCAGCCGCGGUAAUACGGAGGGUGCGAGCGUUAAUCGGAAUUACUGGGCGUAAAGCGUUCGUAGGCGGUAUGUCAAGUCAAGGGUGAAAUCCCCGCGCUCAACGUGGGAACUGCCUUUGAAACUUGCAAACUGGAGUGUGUGAGAUGAUAGUGGAAUUCCAGGUGUAGGAGUGAAAUCCGUAGAUAUCUGGAGGAACAUCAGUGGCGAAGGCGGCCUGCUGGACUGCAACUGACGUUGAGGCCCGAAAGCGUGGGGAGCAAACAGGAUUAGAUACCCCUGUAGUC
RNAcentral lists this ribosomal RNA (465 nucleotides) under uncultured bacterium. RNAcentral describes it as "partial 16S ribosomal RNA". It matches the Rfam family "Bacterial small subunit ribosomal RNA", at positions 338 to 795 of the family's 1533-position model. The record is from RNAcentral.